RNAcentral lists this ribosomal RNA (253 nucleotides) under uncultured bacterium. RNAcentral's name for it is "partial 16S ribosomal RNA". It matches the Rfam family "Bacterial small subunit ribosomal RNA", at positions 524 to 776 of the family's 1533-position model. The record is from RNAcentral.
UACAGAGGGGGCAAGCGUUGUUCGGAAUUACUGGGCGUAAAGGGCGCGUAGGCGGCCUUCUAAGUCGAACGUGAAAUCCCCGGGCUCAACCCGGGAACUGCGUCCGAUACUGGUAGGCUUGAAUUCGGGAGAGGGAUGCGGAAUUCCAGGUGUAGCGGUGAAAUGCGUAGAUAUCUGGAGGAACACCGGUGGCGAAGGCGGCAUCCUGGACCGACACUGACGCUGAGGAGCGAAAGCAUGGGUAGCGAACAGG